Molecule: long non-coding RNA, 747 nt
Organism: Corticium candelabrum
Lineage: Eukaryota; Metazoa; Porifera; Homoscleromorpha; Homosclerophorida; Plakinidae
Exons: 3
Source: RefSeq, a predicted model, not a curated record
AAUAAUAGAAACUCGACAUUCAAAGACCCACGCUAUAGAUGAUACAGACUGUAUUUGUUUAUUUGUCUUUCAAUGCCUGAAGUCAAUAUCAAUCAUGGUAGAGAGGCAUCAAUGUAGCUGUAUUUCAGCUUGACUAUCUGGCAGUUGACAAGAGCAAAUGCAUUAGUGCUUAUAUCUAGGGCAGUUGAUUCAGGUAUCGUUGAUGGCAUUUUGAGCUGGCCUGUUUGGUUUCCUUUUAGUCGUCUAACAUACUCAGCAUACCUUCUUCAUCCUAUAGUCACUAUGGCUUACAUCGCCAGUCUGAAGCAACCAGUGUCUAUUGACAACUUCCACAUGCAACAUAUUGCAGUUAAUCAGGAAUUCGGAAUAUGGGAAGCAGGUUUGUGUCACAGAAGUUUGGUGCUCUUUACAACCAAGCAUGGUAUCACCUUUACAUGAUACUAAUCUCUUGCUCAUCAUACAGUUCUUCACAAGCUGAACUUGCACAUGCGAAAUUGUGGAACGUAAUAGGAUAAACUUACAAAUGGCUGCACUAAAUGUUUUUUAUGCAUAUCUUUUACCACAUAUGUUUGCUCUUUGCACGUGGCAAGUAGACCAAUUUGGUAUGUUCAAUGAGCUACUUGCAUUUGUGAGCGAGUUGCUGUUACUGUAGAUCCUUGCAAUUUGUUGUUUGUAUUUUGGAUAUGUCAUGUAAUACGUAUUAAUAGCUAUUAUUCAAGAUUCAGUUUUAGUUGUAGAUUCAGUAGG